RNAcentral lists this ribosomal RNA (294 nucleotides) under uncultured Lactobacillus sp. Its description in RNAcentral is "partial 16S rRNA". It matches the Rfam family "Bacterial small subunit ribosomal RNA", at positions 397 to 683 of the family's 1533-position model. Lineage: Bacteria; Bacillati; Bacillota; Bacilli; Lactobacillales; Lactobacillaceae. The record is from RNAcentral.
CCGCGUGAGUGAAGAAGGGUUUCGGCUCGUAAAGCUCUGUUGUUAAAGAAGAACACGUAUGAGAGUAACUGUUCAUGCGUUGACGGUAUUUAACCAGAAAGUCACGGCUAACUACGUGCCAGCAGCCGCGGUAAUACGUAGGUGGCAAGCGUUAUCCGGAUUUAUUGGGCGUAAAGAGAGUGCAGGCGGUUUUCUAAGUCUGAUGUGAAAGCCUUCGGCUUAACCGGAGAAGUGCAUCGGAAACUGGAUAACUUGAGUGCAGAAGAGGGUAGUGGAACUCCAUGUGUAGCGGUG